RNAcentral lists this ribosomal RNA (467 nucleotides) under uncultured bacterium. RNAcentral describes it as "partial 16S ribosomal RNA". It matches the Rfam family "Bacterial small subunit ribosomal RNA", at positions 28 to 507 of the family's 1533-position model. The record is from RNAcentral.
GACGAACGCUGGCGGCGUGCUUAACACAUGCAAGUCGAACGGAAAGGCCACUUUCGGGGGGUACUCGAGUGGCGAACGGGUGAGUAACACGUGAGUAACCUGCCCUUGACUUUGGGAUAACUUCAGGAAACUGGGGCUGAUACCGGAUAGGAGCUCCUGCUGCAUGGUGGGGGUUGGAAAGUUUCGGCGGUUGGGGAUGGACUCGCGGCUUAUCAGCUUGUUGGUGGGGUAGUGGCUUACCAAGGCUUUGACGGGUAGCCGGCCUGAGAGGGUGACCGGCCACAUUGGGACUGAGAUACGGCCCAGACUCCUACGGGAGGCAGCAGUGGGGAAUAUUGCACAAUGGGUGGAAGCCUGAUGCAGCAACGCCGUGGGCGGGAGGACGGCCUUCGGGUUGUAAACCGCUUUCGCUCAUGACGAAGCUUUGCGUGACGGUAGUGGGUAAAGAAGCACCGGCUAACUACGUG